This 390-nucleotide unclassified non-coding RNA is filed under the name soil metagenome. Its description in RNAcentral is "partial contains 5.8S ribosomal RNA, internal transcribed spacer 2, and large subunit ribosomal RNA". The stretch from base 1 to 120 matches the Rfam family "5.8S ribosomal RNA", at positions 35 to 154 of the family's 154-position model. The record is from RNAcentral.
GAUGAAGAACGUAGCGAAAUGCGAUAAGUAAUGUGAAUUGCAGAAUUCAGUGAAUCAUCGAAUCUUUGAACGCACCUUGCGCUCCUUGGUAUUCCGAGGAGCAUGCCUGUUUGAGUGUCAGUAAAUUCUCAAUCCCCCACUAGCUUUUGCAGUUGGGGCUUGGAUAUUGGAGGUAUUUGCAGGCCCUUUUUUGAAAGGUGUCAGCUCCUCUGAAAUGUAUUAGCGGAACCGUUUGCAAUCCGUCACAGGUGUGAUAGUUAUCUACACCCAGUGGGCUGCUUUCUGAUUGUUCAGCUUCCAACCGUCCUCGUUGUGGGACAACUACUGAAAUUUUGACCUCAAAUCAGGUAGGACUACCCGCUGAACUUAAGCAUAUCAAUAAGCGGAGGA